Molecule: ribosomal RNA, 223 nt
Filed under: uncultured bacterium
Lineage: Bacteria
Description: partial 16S ribosomal RNA
Rfam family: Bacterial small subunit ribosomal RNA
Source: RNAcentral
UGGCGGACGGGUGAGUAACGCGUAGGUAUCUAUCCUUGGGUGGGGGACAACAGUGGGAAACUACUGCUAAUACCGCAUGAUGACCGAGGUCCAAAGGCGCAAGUCGCCUGGGGAGGAGCCUGCGUACGAUUAGCUAGUUGGUGGGGUAAAGGCCUACCAAGGCUACGAUCGUUAGCUGGUCUGAGAGGAUGAUCAGCCACAUUGGGACUGAGACACGGCCCAA